RNAcentral lists this long non-coding RNA (2036 nucleotides) under Macaca fascicularis (crab-eating macaque). RNAcentral's name for it is "lncRNA (ENSMFAG00000054198.1)". Lineage: Eukaryota; Metazoa; Chordata; Mammalia; Primates; Cercopithecidae. The record is from RNAcentral.
CUUGUUUGUUCUCACCUGGGUGUGCACUCUCAUGAUGCGGUGGCUGCAGCACCUUCAUGCCAGGUGCUGAGAGAGUGGGAAAUUCUUCCUCCCCACUGGCCUGAGUCCCAGAGACUUAGGGAAACAGACCUCAAGUGAGGCUGGGGACCUACGAAGCGGUGGAUAAUAGAUUGGAUAAUCAGAGCUUUUGAGGCAGGGGGCUCAUGGUUUCACUGCAGGGAGUUAUGCUGAGCAAAGAGAUGUGUUUUUCAAAACCAGAGUAUUGCCCGUGUCCACACUGGAGUAAGUGGAGCAUGCUCCUCUGUGUUCCCUGAAUGAUCUUGCACUCCUUUUAAGCAAAGGAGUACCAUGGCCAUGGUCAGUGGGAUCCCACAAAUGUUCUUAAAUGGGUAAGGUUUUAAGUAGCCAGAGAGUAUCCAGCCUACCACUGGCUUCUCCACAUCCUAAAACCUGAGACAGCCUUGGUAUAUGCUUUGUAAAUGUUUCUUUUCUUGUUGUUUAAGUAAUUAAAGUGUUUAAAAUGUCUUCAUUAGAUGUGACGAUUGUUUAAUGAGUUUGCCUCUGACUUGUGGCUCCAUGGGAGAUAGGCAAAGUAAUUAAGAAGUUACCAGAAAUUGGUCGGCUGGGGAAAUGCAAAAGUUAGCAUUUCAGUAAGUGAAUUUCUCCUGGAACAAACGAGCAAUUUUUCCUCUUUCUCUUAAGUAGUAUACCCUUUUCUCACUUAGUAAUUUAAUGGUAUAUAAAGACAUGUGUAUAAGUGAGUGCAUACAUAUGAGGUAUGACUAUAGGGUUGUUUGUGGGAAUUUCUUUUCUUAACAUACAGAAGAUCAAAGUGUUUCAUCUCACCCCGCCCUCCUUAAAAGGUGUCUUUUGGGAGACUAUGUGCUGAUUGACUAUAGUGCUGCCAAGUAAAAAGAUCUUGGGAACUCUUCUACCAGAACGGCCUUCGGGGCUUGUAACGUUCCUUUGGUUUCCCCUUAGAGAUGAGAAAUCCUCCUCCUUUGAGGAUGGAUUUAAGUUCUGGAAAUAAUCUCAAGUACUUGAUAGCACAGUUGGAUGAAUAAAGAUGGCAAUUAAGGUAAGUUACACCAUUUUUGUCUCUAAAAAAAAUCCCUAAGAAUUUUCUUGGAAUGAGUUUUUAGACUCAGAGCCUCUCAAAGUGUCCGCUUCAAGGGAGGACCGUCCUCAUUAGCACACCGAUUUUAAAAAUCAAUUCUCUGGCCAUGCCUCCUAUGUGUUCACAUCUCUGCAUACACUACAGACGUAAGUGCAUAAUCAUUCAUAUAAACAUCUGGUAGGUAUUCUGUAAAACUGUGUUUACUUUAGUGCAUGUUAUUGUCAUGUUACGAUGUGACUGGGGUGUUUCUUUGUCAUGAAACUUUGCUUCUUCACAGAAUUAGAAUACUGCUCCCUCUAUAUUGAAGUACAUAUACAGCAUUUUCUUAUAUCAGCUCCCAAAGUCUGGAUGCCCGGUGUUGUGUUUACAUGUGAUUGUGCCUAGGAGUCUGUUCACAUAGAGACACCUGUAAGUAUUUAUUACAAAACGGAAUGUAAGCAAAUAUAUCCACAUUGGUUUUAUUUGAAUCAAAGUUUUGUUUUGUUUUGUUUUGUUCCUUUUGAGGAGGAACAGGGAGCCUCCUCCUCCAUGAGCACUUACAGAAUUGUGUAAAAUUCUGUGAAACAAGGGCGAGCGUGGGCACCGGUUUCAGCCGUCCCAGUGCCGCUGCCCUCCCACCUACUCUGUGUGUGUGUGUGUCGCUGUGCUUGGUGGCAGUGUGCCGUGCUCGUGCCGGGCUCUUCCCAGCAGACGCUGGUAUCCGGCUGUAACGUUUGGCAUCUUCGUUUUGCCAGUCUGUGUUAAGGGGUGGUGUACGUGGCCGUACAGCCAGAUGGGUCUGUGUACCAGUGUGGGGAGUCCAAGAACACUGCCUGUCCCCCACAGCAAAUAUUGAUGCUGUUGGUCAGCCAAAGAUUUUCCUCUUCUUUGCUGCUUAAACUUGUGCCUUAAUAUUGUACAUAAUAAAUGGAUGAAAUGG